AACCAUUAUCUACCCAGGUGACUAUAUUCUCUGCCAAGGUAAGUCUACUGGGGGACAAAACUCUGUAUAUCAUGAUUAUCUUCAUUAAAAAAAAAAUGCUCUUCCCUUUAUUGUGAGUAUUUGAAAGCAGGAAAGUAAUUUCAUAACAAGAUUAAUUCACAGAAAGGUAAGAAUGACUAAUAGCAUUUUGAGGAAUACCACUUCAAGUAAUUUGUUCAUACUUACAGAAUAAGGACAUACAUUUCUUUGAGCAUUUCAUCUGUUUGAAAAUAAUCUAUUCUGUCCCUGUGUGUCAUUCGAAACCCAGUUUUAGAUUUCAAAUAUGUUAUCAUGAUAAAGUUAAUCCAAAAGGAUAAAUCUUUAUUGACACUACUCUAAGGACUAGGAUAGAUAAACAAGACCUCUUCAAACCCACAGAUCAUAUCAUAUUGGAAACUGAUUGCUCAGAUCACUCUGUCAUAUUCUUAUAUCUAAAGCAGGACUGAGGAUUAAAAACCUUCCUACGGUGUCUUUGAAAGAUCCUUUCUUUGCAUGGAUGAUGGGGCAGAGUGGCUUAAUAUCAGAAAGCAUGUUCUAUAGAAUAAAAUAAAUAAGUACAUAAUUAAUUCCCAUAUAAUCUAUUCCCUUCUUUGCUUGGUCAGAAGUUCCUACCAUUUGAUUCUCUAUCUGUGGAGUGAAUAUCAAAGAGUUACAACAAGACAGCUAUUCACACAGGAGGGGCUUUCAGAAGACUCCUAGCUUGGGCGGACACAAAACUGUAGAAGACAACAGUCAAGACAAGGGUAAAAUGAGCUGGUGAAAACCUAAAGGCAAUGGACUGCUGCUGGGUCUCUGCAUUGCACUGGCCUGGCUCCAGACUUCCUGAAUCUGGCUACAACAAAAGCAACAGUCCCCUAAAAGGAGCCUUUUAGUCAAUGGUUUAAAUUCCUGGUUUUCUGUCCCUCAAGGGACAAUGAAAGGGGCCUGACCUCUUGGUCACCUCAAGAAGGUUUGGAGUUCUCUGGAAAGAGGAGAAAGACAACCUUUUAACAGUUUGAUUGGAUAGCUGGAGUCACUACACAGGCACAGAAAAAAGACUGAAGAGAAAUAAGGUGGAAAAUUUAACUGUAUGGUGAAAUUUCAGGUGAUCUCCUUUUACUCUUUGUAAAAUUCUCUACAAUAAGCAUGUGUUUUAAAAACCACUAAAAAUAAAUAAUGUUAAAAUAUGCA
RNAcentral lists this long non-coding RNA (1209 nucleotides) under Bos mutus (wild yak). Its description in RNAcentral is "lncRNA (ENSBMUG00000001385.1)". Lineage: Eukaryota; Metazoa; Chordata; Mammalia; Artiodactyla; Bovidae. The record is from RNAcentral.